Molecule: non-coding RNA, 986 nt
Organism: Rattus norvegicus (Norway rat)
Lineage: Eukaryota; Metazoa; Chordata; Mammalia; Rodentia; Muridae
Source: RefSeq, a predicted model, not a curated record
UAGAGCGCUUGCCUAGGAAGCGCAAGGCCCUGGGUUCGGUCCCCAGCUCUGGAAAAAAAAAAAAAAAAGAAACCCAGUGUCCACACUAUGUUUGCAACAUCUUUAAGAUAAAGAGUGGGGACAUGAUCUGGAAGUGUAAAAUAUAGGGUUCACUAAGGAGAGGCUGUGUUUCUUAACUAGUGAAUGAUUUUAACAUUCAUCUAAAAUAGGCGGGGAGGGGUUUCCUGGGCCCGGGAGACAGAUAAGGAAACUGAGGCUCUCAGAGCAACUGCCUCCGGCUACUAAACAAGGAAAUGGAAAUUGUUUUCAUUGUUUAUGUUGAAUGCAUCCUGCCAGGAUGUGGCAACGUGAGGCAAAGGCCUCAUCCAAAGAGAUAAAAUCCUGGAGGAUGGAGAGUGCUGGGGGAGGGGCCUCAGGCCGCAAGAUGAAGAUGAAGAGGGGCCAGAGAUUAGGUCAUGGGCGAAGGCUACAGAGAGUGGGUUUUAUGACUUGGUUUUGAGCUGUAAAAAGAACGUAUGAGAAGGGCAGCCUCUUCAGACACAGCUCUGGAAGCAUGCAAAGGCAUCCUGGAGAAGGAAGUUUGUAUGCGGGAGCCACUUGCUCAUCCAGGAGCUAUGAGAGAUGUGCAGCGCAGACCUGGACUAAACCUACAGCCUGCAGCCAAGAUCUAAGAGGCCAGCCCAGCUCCUUGGACCCCAGUUGGCCAGACAGUUCAGCAUCAUACGUUACCUUUAGUCAUCGUCGUUCUUUGGUCUCCUUCAGUUUCAAACCGUUCUGGACUGUUCUGCAGCCUGCAAGAGUCUGGCUCCUUUGACCAUGGAAGGCCGGUCAGCUAGAGAGGGGUAAAUGGCCCAAGACGUCUUUUCCAGGUAAGCAAGAUUUUGUUGUCUUCUCUAGCUCAUUUUGGAGUCCUCCCAACCCAUGCUCUCCUUUCUGUUUUGAGGUUGACUUAAGUCAACACAACCUAUGUGGUACUGCGUUUGAGA